CCGUCUUGAAACACGGACCAAGGAGUCUAGCAUGUGCGCGAGUCAUUGGGAACGCUGAUAAACCCAGAGGCGAAAUGAAAGUGAAAGGUCGGCCUCGAGCCGAUCGCAGGGAAGAUGCGCGGACGGCCCCCGCCGUCCCGCCGCAUUCCCGAGGCGUUUCGAGAAAGCCCCCGUGCGACUAUCGAGACGCACUGAGAGCGUACACGCUGGGACCCGAAAGAUGGUGAACUAUGCCUGGUCAGGUCGAAGUCAGGGGA
Molecule: ribosomal RNA, 257 nt
Filed under: Goera stylata
Lineage: Eukaryota; Metazoa; Arthropoda; Insecta; Trichoptera; Goeridae
Description: partial 28S large subunit ribosomal RNA
Rfam family: Eukaryotic large subunit ribosomal RNA
Source: RNAcentral